RNAcentral lists this ribosomal RNA (495 nucleotides) under uncultured bacterium. RNAcentral describes it as "partial 16S ribosomal RNA". It matches the Rfam family "Bacterial small subunit ribosomal RNA", at positions 28 to 507 of the family's 1533-position model. The record is from RNAcentral.
GACGAACGCUGGCGGCGUGCCUAAUACAUGCAAGUAGAACGCUGAAGGAGGAGCUUGCUUCUCUGGAUGAGUUGCGAACGGGUGAGUAACGCGUAGGUAACCUGCCUGGUAGCGGGGGAUAACUAUUGGAAACGAUAGCUAAUACCGCAUAAGAGUAGAUGUCGCAUGACAUUUGCUUAAAAGGUGCACUUGCAUCACUACCAGAUGGACCUGCGUUGUAUUAGCUAGUUGGUGAGGUAACGGCUCACCAAGGCAACGAUACAUAGCCGACCUGAGAGGGUGAUCGGCCACACUGGGACUGAGACACGGCCCAGACUCCUACGGGAGGCAGCAGUAGGGAAUCUUCGGCAAUGGACGGAAGUCUGACCGAGCAACGCCGCGUGGGUGAAGAAGGUUUUCGGAUCGUAAAGCUCUGUUGUAAGAGAAGAACGAGUGUGAGAGUGGAAAGUUCACACUGUGACGGUAUCUUACCAGAAAGGGACGGCUAACUACGUG